ACUGGGCGUAAAGGGCACGCAGGCGGUGACUUAAGUGAGGUGUGAAAGCCCCGGGCUUAACCUGGGAAUUGCAUUUCAUACUGGGUCGCUAGAGUACUUUAGGGAGGGGUAGAAUUCCACGUGUAGCGGUGAAAUGCGUAGAGAUGUGGAGGAAUACCGAAGGCGAAGGCAGCCCCUUGGGAAUGUACUGACGCUCAUGUGCGAAAGCGUGGGGAGCAAACAGGAUUAGAUACCCUGGUAGUCCACGCUGUAAACGAUGUCGAUUUGGGGGCUGAGCUUUGAGCUUGGCGCCCGUAGCUAACGUGAUAAAUCGACCGCCUGGGGAGUACGGCCGCAAGGUUAAAACUCAAAUGAAUUGACGGGGGCCCGCACAAGCGGUGGAGCAUGUGGUUUAAUUCGAUGCAACGCGAAGAACCUUACCUACUCUUGACAUCCAGAGAACUUUCCAGAGAUGGAUUGGUGCCUUCGGGAACUCUGAGACAGGUGCUGCAUGGCUGUCGUCAGCUCGUGUCGUGAG
RNAcentral lists this ribosomal RNA (517 nucleotides) under uncultured bacterium. RNAcentral describes it as "bacterial SSU rRNA". It matches the Rfam family "Bacterial small subunit ribosomal RNA", at positions 553 to 1071 of the family's 1533-position model. The record is from RNAcentral.